UUUGCCCAGUUCAACAUCAAAACAGAGACAGGGACUGUACAUUUGGCCUGGUGAGUAGUAAUAUGAGCACACACCUUUGACAAGAGUAAAGUUCAGGUGUAACACAUUGUCUUUUUACCACAAUUUGCAUGUGACCUAGUAAGUAACACUGUUGCAGUGGCAUGUAAGCCUACAGACUCUUAAGCUCUCCUUCAACUACUCUGAAUGGUAUUGAUGGUGGACCCAGCCGGCCAUGUGGAUGGAGAACAUUGUCACAAUCAAUGGGAGGAGGGGCCUGCUCUAUUCUGGGCUAAGGACGUCUCAUUAUUUUGAGACUGCGAGAUAAUGACAAAUCAUUCUCUUCUCCCACCGGAGAUCAAAUCUAGUUAUCCUUUGGAUUGCCCAGCCUGUUAAAAUGUGUGAAUGCUUUAGGAUUGAAUCUUAGCCAUUUGAUCCUGCAGAUACCCUCACUCUAUACAUGAUACGUAAUGGGGUUAGAUACACAAGGUAUAACCAUGGAAUGUAUUGCAUGCUAGCUCAUCAGUCGUUUCUCUUUCUCCUUGGUGUGUCAUGUUACGCUUGAAAAGGGGUCUCAUUGUAGCUUGUCAAGUGUUGAGAGAAAGCGACAGCGACAUCAAACUUUAAACACCUUGCCGGUUUGAUGGUCUCUUUGUGAAGACAGCCUAAAGCUUCAGCGAGACAGUGACCUACAGCUAAGCUGAUGUUUUUAUUGCUAGCCGCUAGGCUCCCUUUGCUUGUCUCCACCAGUCAUACACAUGUAUUCCUCCAAUGAUUCCUACCCCCUACAUGCUCGCAGCCAAAUGGACAUAUCGACAAGUGGUGAAAGAAGCUGAACACACCGUAGUAUGUUUCAGUGAAAACAAGUGCAUAGAACAUUACUCAAGCCUUGGGAUGUAACAAAGACGAGGAAUUAAAAGGAUACAAGGUGAGAGGAUGGGAAUCGUUUCUCUUGCAAAAGCUUUGCUAGAAAGACAAUUAAGGAAAAUGGUUUUUGCUCUCCAAGCAUAAUAUAUUGGUUUACCAAGUCAGACGCGCUUGUCCUUCUACACCACAAGCUCCAUUAACCUGAUCUGCAGAGAAGGGCUGUGGGCUAUGUUCUAAAGGAGAAGAAUGCGUGAAAGCUCUCAUGUGUCCGCGACAUACAGCGUGGCAGACUACAUUUUUCGAUUUUCGUUCACAACCACAAAGGAUACAACUGUAUUCCACACUGUUUUAAAAAAAGUAAGCUUUGGACAAGCAGCUAGACAAGAAUCAAACAACAAAAUCUGUCCACAAUACACUGGAAAGCCAUUUUAUACCUAGA
Long non-coding RNA from Esox lucius (northern pike), 1303 nucleotides. The record is from Ensembl. NCBI's taxonomy places the organism in Eukaryota, Metazoa, Chordata, Actinopteri, Esociformes, Esocidae.